GUUAGAAACAUAUACAUGGGCAAGUACCUACGUACGUACGUACGUACAUACAUACAUACAUACUUACAUACAUACAUACAUACAUACAUAAAUACAUAUGUACUCAUACUGAAAAAAAAAAAAAAAAAAAAAAAAAAUGCAGAACGUGAAUCAUAAACCCAAUGAUAUAAACUUUCAACAAAUAAAAAAUAUAAAUUAUGAAAAUGAUUACAUGAAUAAAGUGACUUCCAAGUCUUUACAUUUUAAUUCAAUUAACAACAACAACAACGAUAAUACAAAUUAUCCACCUAAUAAUAAUAUAUUAUUUAUGAAAAAUAAUUUAAUAUCUGGAAACAUGAAUAACGUUCCUAAUAGUACAUAUAAUUUUAACCAGAACCCGUUAGCGAAAGAUGUUACAAAUAUAAACACAAUAAAUAAAAAUAUAUUUAGUGAGAUACAACAUAUAAAUAAUAACAACAUGGAUAGAAACAGCAUCAAUAUUUUUCGUAACAAUAAUAAUAAUAGGAAUACCAAAAAUAGUGACUACAUAGUAUCAAGUGUUUAUCCACAGAAUUAUAAUUUUUUAGACACAAUCCCUGAUCCUAAUGUUAAUAGUAAUAAUAAUAUUAAGGCCAACGACUUAAAUAGUAAAAACUAUGUUGUUAUGAAUAAAAAUAUAAAUAAUUAUGAAAACGUUAACAAUGACGGUAAUAAUUAUUUGAAAGAAAGUUUAUACCUUAAUGCAAAUGCUGUUAGUACUAGUACAAUGCCUGGUAACAUUAACGCUAGUAGUAAAAAUGCUGUAUAUCACCAAACUAACCUGAAUAAUAAUACACUACAUAAUAUAAAAAAUAAUUUAACUAAUUUUAUGAAUCCUGGACUUGGACUUGGACUUGUGAUGAAUAAUAAAAAUAUAACAACAAGAAAUAAUUAUCCAAUUAAUGAUAAUACGAAUAUAGGUUUUAAUAAUUUAUCUAGUACCACACAUAUAGAUAACCUUAAUAGUAAUAAAAAUACAAGACUAAAGCUUUUCGAUAAUAACUUAGACAAAUUAAAACACAUGGAAACAAAUAAUAGUACACAUAAUAGUAAUAAUAAUAAUAGUACACAUAAUAAUAAUAAUAAUAAUAGUAAUAAUAUGCAACAACAAAUAUCAAUGAAUAUGUUUCCGAACACAAUUAAUAGCACUUUAAAUAACCCUAUGAUAAACAACGUAUCAAAUAAUAUAGCAAAUUCAUUAUCAAACAGCUUGGCUAACAAUUCGUUAGGCAAUAACUUAACAAACCCUAUGAAUUCUACUAUAAACAGUAACCAUUUCAAUCAACUAAACAACACCAUGACAGGUCUUUCAACAUUUAAUAUGCCAUCUAUACAUAAUAAUAACAAUGCUCAAAAUCUUAUAAAAACUAACAAUGCAGCUAUUGGCCAACAACUGAGUAUGGUCAACAUAAAUGCAACAACACUUGACGGUGCUAAUAUCAAUUUCAAUAAACAAUUUAUGUUACAAAAAACGAAUACAAGUACGAACAAUGUUGGUGGUGGUAUUAUAAAUGCUGCUUUUGCAUCUACAACUGGAGUUAAUACCGAUGCUAGCACCACAGGUACAAAACCAUUUCCAAUCAGUAACAAUAACAGUAAUAGUAAUAAUAAUAAUGUAACUCAUACCGGUCUGGCUGCCAAUCUUAACCCUAAUCUAAAUCCUAAUUUAACUAAUGAUCCUAGUUUAAAUAACAUGCAAAAUUGUGCAAACACGUCAUCUAUAUAUAGUUUACAUAACUAUCAUAAUAUACCGACUAUGCAAAAACAACAGCAAAGUUUUAUGAAUUUGAAUAACAUGCUUAGUAGUACUACUACGGUUGCUGGCACUACUAUUGGUGCAAAUAAUAAUAUAAAUGAUAAUAAAUUAAAAGCAGUACCUAAUUUAAUUAAUUAUGAUUAUUUUAAUGAUAAAGAUAUGUCUCAAAACAUAAACAAAGUCAACCAAAUGAAUAAUGUUGUUAAUAAUUUUGUUAGUAAUGACUCAAAUUCUAACUUGAAUGCUUUAUCUUUGUUUAGUAGUAAGUUGAAUGUGAUAAACAAUAAUACAGGCAUACUAAAUUCGAAAAAUCAACUUGGAUCCACAGGUAAAUGUAUAAGAUCUGUAACUAGUAACAUUAAUGGUAUUAACAAUAUGAAUACCUUCGAUAAUCUUAAUAGUAUGAAUACGUUUGGAAACAUUAACAACAUUAACAACGUUAACAAUGUUAACAACGCUAAUUAUAUGAACAAUUUAAAUUACACAAACAAUCGAAAAGACAUAAAUAUUUUAUCUGAUAUAGCUACAUUAAAUAGAAACAAUAAUUUAACACUCGAAUUUGGUGAUGAUGUUAAUGAUAUAUCAGUUUAUAAAAAAAAUCUAGGUGUAGGUAUACCACCAUUGGUUGACAAUCAAAUGUUUAAUACAAACAGUAAUGUUACAAGUAGUAAUGCCACUAGCUAUAAUGCCACUAGCUAUAAUGCUACUAGCAAUAAUGCCACUAGAAAUAAUGUCACUAGAAAUAAUGCCUCGAACAAUAAUGUCAUGAGUACAGAUAGUUAUGCAAACAUACUGAAGCAAUUAUGUACGCCCAUCAAAAACAAAUCCCGAAGUAAUCAAAUAAAUGAACGGUUAAAUGAAAAUUUACUUAUGGAUGAAGAUGAUAAUGAAAAUAAUAACAAUUAUAAUAGUACCAUUAUUAAUAAACAAGUUGAAAUAAAUGGUAGUAAUGCUGGUAAUAACGAUAAAAUUGUAGGAUUGUCUGGAGCCGUUAAUACAACUACUACUGGAUGUGCUCCUACUACUGGUAUUAAAAUAGACAAACUAUUACACGAAACAAACAAAAACCAAGCGAAUGGAAACAUAAACAAUACUAACAAUAUAUAUAAUUUAAACACACACAUAUAUAAUAACAACCCGUUUAGUAAUAAUACAAAUUAUAGCAAAGACACAUGUAGUGUUCAUACUAAUAGUAGUAGUAGUAACAACAGUAAUAUAUACGAACUGAAAAAAUUAAAUAUGUUUGUUGAUAAUAAAAUAAAAGAAGAAAAUAAAAUUGAGAACAAAACAAAUAAAAUAAAAAAAAAUAAAACAAAAGUUUAUUUUUAUAUUAACCCUACAUACAUUAUUGAACCAUUAAAACGUAAAAUCUACCAAAAUAUGUCAAUUUUUAUAGAAAAUCUAAUUAGUGAUAUAAAAGCAAUUGAAAACAAAAAUCGAGCAGAAAUAUUAGAGAAUUUGCAUAACACUCCAUGGUUUUGUAUGAUAUUUGAUUUUGAUGGUAUCAGCAAAUUACUAAAUGUUUUUAAUAAAUAUUUAAUUUAUUCUGAUUCAUUAAUAAUACCAGAUAUUUUAAUAGCUAAUAAACUAGAGGAAAAUUAUCAUAAUAAUAUGAUUAACAAUAAUGAAGUAGAAAAAAAAAAUAGUAAUAAUAAUAAUGAUGAUGAUGAUGAUGAUGAUGAUACAAACGAAAUGGGUAAUAUAAUUAAUAAAGUAAAAGACACAGAUGAUUCUGUUAUGGAUAAAACUAAUACAACCGUUAGUAAUAAUAAGAGUAAUACUACUACUACUACUACAAAAGAUAAAGAUAUGUACAUACAAACAAUUAAUUAUUUUUUUAAAAAAAGUGAUAAAAUUGAUUUGUUAAAUAAAAAAAUAUUUGAUUAUGAAAAUAGUAUAAUUGAAAAUGCAGAGAAAUUAAAUUAUUUAAAAGAAUUAUGUAAUGGCCUAAAUGAACGAAUUAAUAUGAAAAAAAAAAAAUUUAUUUUAUUAUUAGAAAAAGCGAAAUUGAAAAAUUUUACUUAUAAAAAUAGAGACUUACAAACGAUAUUAGAUGUGGAAAAAAAAAAAAAAUUAAAACAAAACAAAAUAAAUGAUCAUAAUUAUGAACAUGGGCAUGACUAUAAUCACAAUGAAGACACAACAAAUAAUAAUAACUUUAACUCUAUCAAUGAUUAUUAUCAAAUUUUCAAAGCAAUAAACGAAGGUUUGAAUUAUUUAAAAAGAUAUUCGAAUAUAAUAAUUAAUAAUCAGAACAUGCACAAUCAAAUUAUGAACGAACAAGAAGAAAGUUGCAAUUUUUACGACUCUUCUGCUUCUUCUGACGAUUUGAGUACCGAGCAUAAUGUACAUGGCGAUGAAUAUGAUGAUGAUAAUGAAAAUUAUUUUUAUGAUAUAGAAAAUACACAUAAUUUAAACGUAUCAAACAGAAACAUAAAAAGUAAAAGAAAAAAUAAAAAUGCGGAUGAAGAAACUGGAAACAACAAAAAUAAUUCUAUUAAUAAACUAAACGAAAAUGUUGAUAAUAAUAAAGAUUUCAGUAAAAAAAGAAAAACGGUUAUUCAAAUUAAAAAUCUGCAACGUGAGAAAGAGGAUAAUGAUGAAUGGGUUGACGAGUUUUUAGAUGAUUUUUAAGUUUAUCUGCAAAAAAAAAAAAGUCAACAAUUUGUGACUUCGUUGGACUGGGUAUAGGUAGCUGUACGUACAACAUAUAUACAUAUAUAUAUAUAUAUAUAUCUGUUAAUUGUGCAAGGAUAUUCAAUAUAUAACAUCCUAACUAAACAAAAUAAAACAAAAUAAAAAAAAUAAAACA
Molecule: long non-coding RNA, 4586 nt
Organism: Piliocolobus tephrosceles (Ugandan red Colobus)
Lineage: Eukaryota; Metazoa; Chordata; Mammalia; Primates; Cercopithecidae
Source: Ensembl